GACUGUUGAGCUGCUGGGACAGGAUUCUGCAGGUUCUCAGAAAAGUGAGCAUGAGAGGGAAGGGAAGUAAAGCACAGAGGCUGCAGCAUGAAGUUAACCUGUGGGACCGUGUCUGCUGUACCAGCAACAUCCAGAAGAGGGCACUGCCCACAUUCCUGCAGGACGGGUUUGACAGCCGCUAUGAUUGAGAAGGUGCUGCCUCCCCCUGCCCGGCCGGGG
Molecule: long non-coding RNA, 219 nt
Organism: Apus apus (common swift)
Lineage: Eukaryota; Metazoa; Chordata; Aves; Apodiformes; Apodidae
Exons: 3
Source: RefSeq, a predicted model, not a curated record